CAGGUAGCUGAGCAGACGGGUUAAAGCUCCAGCUUAGGCAGGAACAGGGACCAGGAUUCGAUCCCUAGCAUGUGGUGCCGGCCCCACCCCCAUGGGGUGUGCUGA
Molecule: long non-coding RNA, 105 nt
Organism: Octodon degus (degu)
Lineage: Eukaryota; Metazoa; Chordata; Mammalia; Rodentia; Octodontidae
Exons: 3
Source: RefSeq, a predicted model, not a curated record